AGCUGAAGGAUUUAUUGGUCAGGCAGCUGCUGCGAUCAUUAAUUUGAAUUGAAGGAUGGAGGUUCCAGAGUUGUGGGAAAACAUGAUUUAGGAAGCUUAGCCUGCACAAAAACCCAAGUCAACAAGUCCUGUGGCUCCAGGAAAGAAACAGGACAGCUCUGGUUUGUACUGAUUCAUGGCUAUUUACUCAAGGUGUAAAGUCCUAUGGAGACUCAGAGGCAUCUUUCAGACACAGCCUGCAGGAUGACUUGAAAGAAGGCCAGAUAUUGAUCUAUGGAUCAGCAGAGGAG
Molecule: long non-coding RNA, 290 nt
Organism: Neopelma chrysocephalum (saffron-crested tyrant-manakin)
Lineage: Eukaryota; Metazoa; Chordata; Aves; Passeriformes; Pipridae
Exons: 3
Source: RefSeq, a predicted model, not a curated record